This 255-nucleotide ribosomal RNA is filed under the name uncultured bacterium. RNAcentral's name for it is "partial 16S ribosomal RNA". It matches the Rfam family "Bacterial small subunit ribosomal RNA", at positions 74 to 334 of the family's 1533-position model. The record is from RNAcentral.
CAAACCAAAGCUGGCGACCGGCGCACGGGUGAGUAACACGUAUCCAACCUGCCUCAUAUUCGGGGAUAGCCUUUCGAAAGAAAGAUUAAUAUCCGAUAGCAUAUAUUUCCCGCAUGGGUUUUAUAUUAAAGAAAUUCGGUAUGAGAUGGGGAUGCGUUCCAUUAGUUUGUUGGGGGGGUAACGGCCCACCAAGACUACGAUGGAUAGGGGUUCUGAGAGGAAGGUCCCCCACAUUGGAACUGAGACACGGUCCAA